UACAGAGGGUGCAAGCGUUGUUCGGAAUUAUUGGGCGUAAAGGGCGCGUAGGCGGUUCGGCAAGUCUCUAGUGAAAUCUCAGGGCUCAACUCUGAGUCUGCUGGGGAAACUGCCGGGCUUGAGUGUGGGAGAGGAGAGUGGAAUUCCCGGUGUAGCGGUGAAAUGCGUAGAUAUCUGGAGGAAUACCGGUGGCGAAGGCGGCAUCCUGGACCAUUACUGACGCUGAAUCGCGAAAGCUAGGGGAGCAAACGGG
Molecule: ribosomal RNA, 253 nt
Filed under: uncultured bacterium
Lineage: Bacteria
Description: partial 16S ribosomal RNA
Rfam family: Bacterial small subunit ribosomal RNA
Source: RNAcentral